GACGAACGCUGGCGGCGUGCCUAACACAUGCAAGUCGAGCGGAGAUUUUUUGAUUGGAUGGUAAGCUUGCUUACUUGAUAUGAUUUUGAAUCUUAGCGGCGGACGGGUGAGUAACACGUGGGCAAUCUGCCUCUUACAGGGGGACAACACAGGGAAACUUGUGCUAAUACCGCAUAAACACUGCACUGUGGCAUCACAGAGUAGUCAAAGGAGCAAUCCGGUAAGAGAGGAGCCCGCGUCUGAUUAGCUAGUUGGUGGGGUAACGGCCUACCAAGGCGACGAUCAGUAGCCGAACUGAGAGGUUGAUCGGCCACAUUGGGACUGAGACACGGCCCAG
This 337-nucleotide ribosomal RNA is filed under the name uncultured bacterium. RNAcentral's name for it is "bacterial SSU rRNA". It matches the Rfam family "Bacterial small subunit ribosomal RNA", at positions 28 to 334 of the family's 1533-position model. The record is from RNAcentral.